This is a long non-coding RNA of Mus musculus (house mouse), 3062 nucleotides long. RefSeq annotates it as predicted gene, 36547. The transcript is spliced from 4 exons. The record is from RefSeq and is a predicted model, not a curated record. NCBI's taxonomy places the organism in Eukaryota, Metazoa, Chordata, Mammalia, Rodentia, Muridae.
CUUGUAUCCUGAUGCAUAUUUUUACAUAUUUGUUUUUCAGGCUCUAAUCCAGAGAAAUGUUAAAGGAACCUUUAUAAUAACUGAGUGACUGAUAGAGUGGUCAUAGCAUAAUAUGGUCCUUCUAAUCUUCACUAUCCAGAUGGGCAGUGAGGCUGUACCUAGCCUUGUGUUACCAUGUGGUUUUACAGGUAACCCAUUAAAGCCUUGGACAGUAUGAAGGGAUGAGAUGAUGCCACAUCUGCCAUUUAGAUAUCAUACUUUUUUCACAUGAUAUCUUUAGAUAUCUUACUUUUUUUACCUCUAAGUAACACAUUCUGAAAAUGAGUUGAUACUCGUCUCAUUCUACUUUUAGAAUUUCCAGUAUCCCUCACCAUUGCAACAAGGCAAUAAUCCAUCUAUGCCACUGAAAUGAGUGAGUAUUCUGUACGCUUACAUUUCCUCAGUUUUUAAGAUACAUUCCACUAAAAACUCUCUCCAAUAUUACUAAUAAGCAUCAGCAUUUAUCAUAUUCUUCUGAAAAGUAGUAUGUGUUUAAUAUUUGUAGUGGUCAAUAUAUAUUUUCAUAGUAUCAAUCACUGUAAUAUUCACCAUGGAAUAUUUGCAGAUAUCCUUAAGAGAAAUGAGGAUCUCCUCAGAAGACUUAGUUUGUGAAGAUUACAAGUAGCCAGAUCUAUAAAUAGAUUCUUUAAUGGUGUAAUGACUUUGUGAACAUGGUGGUGUGCAUGUAGAUGAGUUCUAUUAAGUAGAUUUUUCUCAGUAUGUAUUUUUCAGAGACAAAUCCAGACAUCAUGGUGAAGCAUCAAUACUGUCAAAUGGAAAUUGCUGCAAUCCAUAAAGUACUGGUCUGGGCUAAAAUAACUUCCUACCUGCAUAUCUGCUAGAAAAGCAUUCCUACUAAAAGCAUUAAGGAGGUUGUCAACAACUACGUAUAUGAAAGUUAGAUGUCCUGUCCCAUGUAGGCUACCAAUAUGUUUUCCCCAAUACCAACAAUAUUUCCCCCAGAUUCCUUUUCUGCUUGCUGUGACUUAUCAGUCUACCUCUAAGUAACACAUUCUGAAAAUGAAUUGAUACUCGACUCAUUCUACUUUUAGAAUUUCCAGUAUCCCUCACCAUUGCAACAAGGCACUGAUCCAUCUAUGCCACUGAAAUGUCUACAGCAUACACGAACAGAGACUGGCAUUGUUUCGUGCAGGUAUGUGUUAAAAUUGUAUGAUGGUCACCAUGGUCACUAACAUCGUGACAUUAAAUGUUAAUUAUCCACAAAUACAAUACAAUCUUGUGAGCAUUACUAAUAUUGGUGGGGUAAUACUUUAAGGGCCUCUGUGCUAUAUAGGACAGAGAAAUUGUAGUCUGACCUAUAAAUGUUGAAAGUUUGAUUACAUGCUACUGUGUUGUUACUGUUUCUAAUCUUAAGAACCUGUUCUUGUUGCUUGUUUUUGACAGGUCUAUACAUAUGUACAGCAUAUGUGGCUAUACUCACCUCCUGUUACUGUCUGGUAUUGUCCUUCUUUACCUUCUGAACCCCUUCUUCUUCCCCCUAACACUCAGUGACUAUACCAUUAGAGAAAAUGAUACCUUUCCUCCAAACAACAAUUAACAUUCAUUACCUCCUCAGGAAGAGUUGGAGCUUCAUGUGGUAUGCAGUUACGGUUGUAAUGGCGGUGUCAUAUCUGGAUGGCAGCAUUUUGUAAACUCAUAGAAGGAUCUUAACAUGGUAUCCACUUAAAAAAAAAUGGGAGUGCCCUUACAAUAUUGUGCCCAUGACCAUCUGUAGGUAUCCAGAUAAUAGAGGUGGAUCCCCACUGAUUAGUGACCUUGGGAAUUUUAAUGCAAGGUAAAUGAUGGUGGUGCCACUGGACAUUUUUAAUAUGUUUUUUUUUAGCUGCUAAGCUCAGAAAUCAUGAAUUUUUGAAGCUCUGGUAAACAUGAGUUUGUGAAUGUAUAUGGCAAGAACAUCGGUGUUGAAACUGUGGAUAUGGAAGAAUUGACUGUUAUUCUUCAGCUAAAGCAGUGGGAAGAAUAGUGUGUUUUGAGAUUUCUGAUCAAUAAAUUUUAGAUGUUCUUAAGUUAUGGAAAUUAGAAGCAUUUUGAAUAUCCAGGUAAAUUGUAGUUCCAUAAACAAUCAUUAUGGGCAGGGCAAUGGUCCUAGCCAAAGCUAAGUAUCUAUUUUGACAAACAUUUUCCCCCGAGUUUUCCCUUCUCAUUUCCUUCAAGAAAAUCAAAAUAACACCUUCAAAACUGUGUCCAUUUGUGUGUAUAUUGGCAGAAGCUCACACAGUGCUCCAAACAAUGUUCAUGGGGGGAUUUAGUGGCAAUAUGGACUAUGGUCACACAUGUGCAGACACCCUUUGUCACAGGUAAGUUGUCAAAACACAAAUGUGCCCAUAACAACCUUACUAAGCUUUAUGUUCAUCGUCAUUGUUAACAGUAAUGUUCAUUUCACAAACAUAAUGAUAGUGGUUUAAUCCUGAUUUGGUCAUUUUGUUCAUUACCAUCAUGAUGGACAAUGAAAUUUUUGCCAAUAUCCUCUUUUUACAUGAUCACUUUUCAUAAGGAGGCUGCUAGUCUUUGGAAUUCUGUAAAUAUCCAAGUAUCAUGAAGGGAUAUAGUGACUGGGAAUAAUUUGCACUCUAGAAUACUCAUAUGCUGUGACAUUCUGAGACAAGUCAAAGCAUCACAGUGAGAUAGAUAAUGUGUGUUAUGUAAAACAUUAGCGGUAAUCAGGUUACUGGCAUGAGUGAGACUCAGGAUCUCUGAACUUCAUUUACACAGGUAAGGGACAACGAUAAUAAAAGUACACUAGAAGCAAGCCAAUCCUCUACAUUGAAGUCACUGAGGAGUACUUGCGACCACUAUGUUGUCAUGUUUCUUUUCAGAGGCAAGUCAAGACAUCAUAGUGUGCUGUUAAUGGUAAUCAAAGGGGAAUGUCACUGAUAUUAAGCUUCUUUGGAUCUAUGGAUUGUAGCAUGGGCAUCCCAUAUUUUAUGGAUAAUAUCAACUUAUAAGUGAGUACAUAUCAUGCAUGUCCUUUGGGGACUGGGUCACCUCACUAAGGAUGAUAU